Molecule: non-coding RNA, 468 nt
Organism: Sturnus vulgaris (Common starling)
Lineage: Eukaryota; Metazoa; Chordata; Aves; Passeriformes; Sturnidae
Source: RefSeq, a predicted model, not a curated record
UGGAAAGAAAGUCGAAGCCUUUUUCUUGCUUUUAUAAAGCAAAUAUUUUCCUGUCUUGUUCACGUAUGGUGAAGCAUGGAAGUACAUGGCCAGCUUUUCAUAUUCUGAAUGCUCAGCUUACUGAUGGUGCACAGUGCUUUCUGGGCAGGAAGGAGAACACGUUGCACCUCUCUGACCUUGCAAAAGACCAAACUCAUGACAGAUCUUCUUUAGCCCCUCUCACUCUAGAGAGGGGAGAUGGUUCUUCUCUUUUGUCCCUAUGGAAGUAACAGAGGCAUAAGAGGCAAGAGAUGAUACAUUCUCCAUCCGUUGUGUCUCUGCUAUGGCUGCAGAACUUGUUUCUACCAUCAACUUACUGAGAGAAUAUCUAAUGUUAGACUGCGUGUGUAAACACAGGGUUAGUAUUUCACCUCUUGAUGAAAUCCCCAGAGAAGAUAAUGAGCAGCUCCUAGUGAUAAUAGGCUCUUA